ACAACAUUUGGAAACAGAUGCUAAUACCGCAUAACAGCGUUGUUCGCAUGAACAACGCUUAAAAGAUGGCUUCUCGCUAUCACUUCUGGAUGGACCUGCGGUGCAUUAGCUUGUUGGUGGGGUAACGGCCUACCAAGGCGAUGAUGCAUAGCCGAGUUGAGAGACUGAUCGGCCACAAUGGGACUGAGACACGGCCCAUACUCCUACGGGAGGCAGCAGUAGGGAAUCUUCCACAAUGGGCGCAAGCCUGAUGGAGCAACACCGCGUGAGUGAAGAAGGGUUUCGGCUCGUAAAGCUCUGUUGUUAAAGAAGAACACGUAUGAGAGUAACUGUUCAUACGUUGACGGUAUUUAACCAGAAAGUCACGGCUAACUACGUGCCAGCAGCCGCGGUAAUACGUAGGUGGCAAGCGUUAUCCGGAUUUAUUGGGCGUAAAGAGAGUGCAGGCGGUUUUCUAAGUCUGAUGUGAAAGCCUUCGGCUUAACCGGAGAAGUGCAUCGGAAACUGGAUAACUUGAGUGCAGAAGAGGGUAGUGGAACUCCAUGUGUAGCGGUGGAAUGCGUAGAUAUAUGGAAGAACACCAGUGGCGAA
RNAcentral lists this ribosomal RNA (591 nucleotides) under uncultured bacterium. Its description in RNAcentral is "bacterial SSU rRNA". It matches the Rfam family "Bacterial small subunit ribosomal RNA", at positions 143 to 719 of the family's 1533-position model. The record is from RNAcentral.